This 514-nucleotide unclassified non-coding RNA is filed under the name Desarmillaria ectypa. RNAcentral's name for it is "Armillaria ectypa partial contains 28S ribosomal RNA and intergenic spacer 1". The stretch from base 1 to 73 matches the Rfam family "Eukaryotic large subunit ribosomal RNA", at positions 3329 to 3401 of the family's 3401-position model. Lineage: Eukaryota; Fungi; Basidiomycota; Agaricomycetes; Agaricales; Physalacriaceae. The record is from RNAcentral.
GGGGUACUGUAAGUGGUAGAGUAGCCUUGUUGCUACGAUCCACUGAGGUUAAGCCCUUGUUCUAAAGAUUUGUUCAACUUUGUUGGACUUUCUCUUUUUCUUUUUCUUUUUACGUGCUGAAUGCUUGAGGGCCGGGAUAAUAAUCUUUGUGCACUCGCUACAGCAUGUUAACUUGGGUUUCAAGGUGGAGACUAACCAUGCCUUGGUAUUGGUUACCUUUCUCAUUGAGCCUCGUUAUAAGGCUUAGAAGGAAUUUCGUUAGCAAGCUCUUAAUGCAUGCUGACUUGAAACUUUCUUGGUAUCGGUUUUCUGCCCGAUAUAAUGCGUAUGGUAUAGGCAUGGUACUUGAAAGGGCGAGUUAGCGGUUUGUUAACGAGUUUGAAAGCCUGCCCUUAACGAUGCCUUCAUUGAAAGGUCCUUCGAAGCUAAGGUUACCUUUGUUAACCGUUUACUUAGCUUUCGAAGGGUUACGUUCAAAUGGUUUUCAUUGACUUGGCCUAUUACGCGGGUUGGU